GGGGGAGCAAACUGAUGAUGAUGGGUUCCAAGAUCUGCAAUCAAGCUACAAACGGAACUAUGCCGCAGAGAAGAUGAAUGCAGCAAGGAUCAGAGAAGGGAAUUUAUUAAGGGCUGACAGAGUUGCUACUGCACAUAAGGCCAAACCAAGAGAGUUCCAAAUAGAAAAUAGAGUUGACAACAAGCGUGCCAAUGCAUCAAAGGGUAUGAACAAGGAUGCAACAUCUAAAUGCUCACAACAAAUAAACUAUCAGGUUAUUGGACUUCUACUGCAUAACUUCCCAAUUAUUUGCAUACGUUUUAUAAUAUUGUCAUCUGCUUGUUGUAAAAAUAAUACAACCUGAAAUUCAUAUUGUGUAUAUUAUUAAUUCACUCUUUGACCUUUGGAUAAGGCUGGCACUCCCGUAUACAUAAAGAGCUAGAGACAUAAAAGUAAGAAUGUUGCCUUAGGGACAAUACUGAGUGUUGAUCCAAAUCAGAAAGUUGGAGGCCUUGAGCUAGGCAAAGAAUUUUAUAUGCUGUGUGUUGGUCUUACCUCUGUGCCUGAUGAGCCACUAAUACGACCAUAUGACAACUUCCAAGUUAUCGGAGACGUAGGCAAAAAUCCUAUAGCAUGGCCUUCAAGUUGUGUUGCAAAGAGUGUCAGCCAAUCAUAUUGAUUUAGCCAGGUUGGAACCCAUAGAAUGCAAGGUCUACUGGAAUGGUGCUUUCACUGGUCAUUUGAAUUGGUUCAAGAGAAGAGUCGAUUGCAACUAGACUCCUAUAUGUAUAUGUUGCUUUCACAGAAAACAUGUUUUAGAACACACAUUAUGUGAUAGAUUAUGUUUUGGAUGAAACUCUGUAAUCGGAUAUUUUGUUUUAAAUAUAGAAUUUAGAGUUGUGCGCAUUUAGCAUUGUGUCUUAUGAUGAUGGAAAAAUUCAAGGGCAUUGUGUAUGCUAUAUAUUUGUAUGAACUCAAAUAAAUAAAUAAAUAAAUAA
This is a long non-coding RNA of Zea mays, 977 nucleotides long. RefSeq lists it as uncharacterized. NCBI's taxonomy places the organism in Eukaryota, Viridiplantae, Streptophyta, Magnoliopsida, Poales, Poaceae. The transcript has 6 exons. The record is from RefSeq and is a predicted model, not a curated record.